This 194-nucleotide unclassified non-coding RNA is filed under the name uncultured fungus. Its description in RNAcentral is "partial contains 18S rRNA, ITS1, 5.8S rRNA, ITS2 and 28S rRNA". Lineage: Eukaryota; Fungi. The record is from RNAcentral.
AAGGAUCAUUCAUGAGCGUUGGAGCCCUCCGGCUCCAAACCUCCAUCCCGAGCGUACCUUUCUCUCCUGCCUGGCCGGCCCGCGCGGUAACUCGCGCGGCGGCCAACCUUUAAAACCUUUCUUCUUGAACAGUACCGUCCGAGUCGAUUUAUAAAAUCAAAACAAAACUUUCAACAAUGGAUCUCUUGGCUCUG